Long non-coding RNA from Rhipicephalus microplus (southern cattle tick), 455 nucleotides. RefSeq lists it as uncharacterized. Lineage: Eukaryota; Metazoa; Arthropoda; Arachnida; Ixodida; Ixodidae. The record is from RefSeq and is a predicted model, not a curated record.
CAUUGAGCGGUCUUCGUUGAGAAAUUUAUUCUGCCAGCAGGCCCUUUCGUUUUCAACGCGUAUGUGGCAUAAACCAGGAGAAGGCUGUGCGUCAUCUGCACGUGAAUUACAGCGUUCUUCGCCUACGAGGCCAUGGGGUCGUCGCUGUUGUCGUCGGACAAAUGCAACCAUGAGCGUCCGCCUGGGUACGAGCAAGUGGAGGUGGAGUUUGUUUUUUAUCCCUUGACAUCGGACGCUGAAACAUUUUCAUAGCACACGUGUUGGCUGGUUACAUUCCCUGAAAAACUUCGUCAGAUUAGCCGUAUACACACUUCCAUCGUCCCGCCUUUUGUAGCUCUCUCCGGUCGUUUCGCUGAUGGUUAUCCUGACCAUUCUGGGAACGGAGUUAUGCUACGUUCUUAGAUAAUAAUAUUGGAGGUUUCACAUGCCGAAACCACGAUAUGAUGAUCAGGGAU